RNAcentral lists this long non-coding RNA (770 nucleotides) under Malus domestica (apple). RNAcentral describes it as "long non-coding RNA (MDOM_LNC010207)". The record is from RNAcentral. Lineage: Eukaryota; Viridiplantae; Streptophyta; Magnoliopsida; Rosales; Rosaceae.
GCUCUGAAAUUAAUCCAUAAGUAGUAUUGAGCCGGUUCUACUUUAUAUUAUGUUCAAGAUUUUACCUCAUAUGUUGUUGUACUAUUGCCCAGUGCUCCAAAUGGAAUUAAACAAACUUUUGUAAGCUCAAAGGAUUGCAGCUAAGCAUCUAAACAAGAAUAAACUCUCAUAAGUUCACGAACUAGGUGUUAGACAAGAGUCCACAGUACAAUGUAUCAGUAAUUAUCUUAAAAUAUUCUCUAUGUAAUUUACCACGUAUAGGACUCUUGUUGUUAAUGUAUUAUAAAACUUGUAUACGUUGAUGAAUGAAAGCAAACAAUUCCAACAUUUCCUCUACCUGUCAAUUAUUUUUUCACACAUUUCAUCGACUGAAUUAUUAAUGACAUGUCAUGGACACAUCGGUCAUUAAACUAAGGAGCGGACAUCAUGCAGAAAGAAUUUCACUACAUACGUAUAUAAAGGUCGUACCCAGUGCACAAGGCUCCCGCUUUACGCAGGGUCUGGGAGAGGUGAAUGUCGGCUAGCCUUACCCCCAUUUAUGGAGAGGCUGCUCCCAAGUCUCGAACCCGAGACCUACCGCUCAUGGGCGAAGGCACUUGCCAUCGCACCAAGUGCGACCUCUUCACUACAUACGUAUAUGUAUAAGAAAAAACUUACGCAAUAUCUUUAUUGCUGAGUCUGCCAUAAAGUCUCUGGUUUCCAUCUUUAAAGUGCUGGAGUAGUCCUUGAUGUUUGAUAUGUUAUAAUAAUUCAAUCCAAUGAAGUCAAAU